AUUGAACGCUGGCGGCAGGCCUAACACAUGCAAGUCGAGCGGAUGAAGGGAGCUUGCUCCUGGAUUCAGCGGCGGACGGGUGAGUAAUGCCUAGGAAUCUGCCUGGUAGUGGGGGAUAACGUCCGGAAACGGGCGCUAAUACCGCAUACGUCCUGAGGGAGAAAGUGGGGGAUCUUCGGACCUCACGCUAUCAGAUGAGCCUAGGUCGGAUUAGCUAGUUGGUGGGGUAAAGGCCUACCAAGGCGACGAUCCGUAACUGGUCUGAGAGGAUGAUCAGUCACACUGGAACUGAGACACGGUCCAGACUCCUACGGGAGGCAGCAGUGGGGAAUAUUGGACAAUGGGCGAAAGCCUGAUCCAGCCAUGCUGCGUGUGUGAAGAGGUCUUCGGAUUGUAAAGCACUUUAAGUUGGGAGGAAGGGCAGUAAGUUAAUACCUUGCUGUUUUGACGUUACCAACAGAAUAAGCACCGGCUAACUUCGUG
RNAcentral lists this ribosomal RNA (483 nucleotides) under uncultured bacterium. RNAcentral describes it as "partial 16S ribosomal RNA". It matches the Rfam family "Bacterial small subunit ribosomal RNA", at positions 30 to 507 of the family's 1533-position model. The record is from RNAcentral.